UGGGGAAUUUUGCACAAUGGGCGAAAGCCUGAUCCAGCAAUGCCGCGUGUGUGAAGAAGGCCUUCGGGUUGUAAAGCACUUUUGUCCGGAAAGAAAUGGCUCUGGUUAAUACCUGGGGUCGAUGACGGUACCGGAAGAAUAAGGACCGGCUAACUACGUGCCAGCAGCCGCGGUAAUACGUAGGGUCCAAGCGUUAAUCGGAAUUACUGGGCGUAAAGCGUGCGCAGGCGGUUGUGCAAGACCGAUGUGAAAUCCCCGAGCUUAACUUGGGAAUUGCAUUGGUGACUGCACGGCUAGAGUGUGUCAGAGGGGGGUAGAAUUCCACGUGUAGCAGUGAAAUGCGUAGAGAUGUGGAGGAAUACCGAUGGCGAAGGCAGCCCCCUGGGAUAACACUGACGCUCAUGCACGAAAGCGUGGGGAGCAAACAGGAUUAGAUACCCUGGUAGUCCACGCCCUAAACGAUGUCAACUAGUUGUUGGGGGAUUCAUUUCCUUAGUACGUAGCUAACGCGUGAAGUUGACCGCCUGGGAGUACGGUCGCAAG
This 543-nucleotide ribosomal RNA is filed under the name uncultured bacterium. RNAcentral's name for it is "partial 16S ribosomal RNA". It matches the Rfam family "Bacterial small subunit ribosomal RNA", at positions 355 to 892 of the family's 1533-position model. The record is from RNAcentral.